CUUUCACCAUGUGAGGACAUAAUGAGGAGGUACCAGCUAUAAGCCAGGAUAAAGGCUCUCCUCCACCCAUGCUGGUGACUUGAUCUUGGGCUUCCCCUUCCAGAAAUAUCCUGAUUUAACUCAGGCCAGUCCUGGGAUGUAUCCAGAAUGCUGAUAAUUUAAGACCAAGGUUUUAUCAGGCCCAGUUGAAGCAUAAAGUGAUGGACUCAGGGUUCAAGGUUCAACAUCUGGCUCUGUCACUUUCAAGCUGGAUAAUCCUGAGAAAGGUGAGCAACAUCAGGAGUAAUUAGCAGAAGCCCAGGAAGAAGUCUUUGGGAUCCACCUGCAGAAGAUUCAUCUUGAAAAAGAAAGACCUGUUUCCAUAAUAGCCUCUGCUUUACAAACGCCUUUUCAAAUGACUUCCAUUUGACUGAGGAAAACCUUUCAGCUUUCAGUUUUUUUCUUCAGGCUUCUGACCUCUCACCUACUUUGAAUGAUUCACUCAGGCUAUUCAUUGCCCUGGAAUGUUGGCUUUGGCAAAGGACUGCAAGUCUCUUAAAAUAAACAUGACUGGGCUUUCAUCUCACAGUGAUCACUGCUGGCUGCAUAUUUCACACACUGUAUGGCAGGAUAUGUUAAAUUAAAAUCAUAAUCUCCCAAGUGCAAUCCAGGGCCUGGUUAAGCCACGCGAGACUUACUCAUGCAUUUACUUCCAAUGAAGUGUCUGAGUAAGAUCUUCAGCCAUUAAGUCUCCCAGGUAAUAGUCUCAUUCCCUCCCAAUUAUCCUAAUCCACAGUAAAUUAAACCCAUCCAGAAGAAUGCCAUUUGGAAAGGAAGAAGUCAAGGCCAACACCCCGUGGCAUAUGUAGGUCCUAGAGAGGUGAGUUUGAACUAUUUUGUCAGUUUUUUCAAAUUUUAACUUAAAUCUUGCUAAGGCAAUAUACCCAACGCGUAUGGAUUAACAAUAUGUUCGGCAUUAUGUUAAAUAUUCUGAGUAGUUAAAAGAAAUAUAUGACACCAAGCCUUCAGGAGCUUAAAGUCUUGUGGAUGAUCACUAAGAUUAACAUGCAAAAAAAAAAAAAAGAGUAACAAAGGCAGGUGCAAGGCAGUAGUAACGUGGAGGAAGCCUUUCUCCAAGUGGAGUCUGGGGCCUGACUUGCCCCAGCUGUGUGAUUGCAGAAUAAAUCUUUGAUUGAUGGAAUAUUUUGGUUUCCAUGCCUGUACAAUGGAGGGUACACUAAACCUCACAGUGGUUGUCAUGAUUCACUAAGAUAAAGAAGAUAAAACUGUAAUGUAUAAUGUCACCUAUUAUGGGCUAUGAUAAAACAAGUUGAAACAACUUAAGAAAUAAGUCCAG
Long non-coding RNA from Canis lupus familiaris (dog), 1336 nucleotides. RefSeq lists it as uncharacterized. The record is from RefSeq and is a predicted model, not a curated record. The transcript has 3 exons. NCBI's taxonomy places the organism in Eukaryota, Metazoa, Chordata, Mammalia, Carnivora, Canidae.